UUUUCCGGGAUAAAAACAACCUACCCUAUAUGUUAACCCGGAGUAUCAGCUACCACUGUAUCAAAUUUCAUUUAAAUCCGUUCAGUAG
Long non-coding RNA from Maniola jurtina (meadow brown), 88 nucleotides. RefSeq lists it as uncharacterized. NCBI's taxonomy places the organism in Eukaryota, Metazoa, Arthropoda, Insecta, Lepidoptera, Nymphalidae. The record is from RefSeq and is a predicted model, not a curated record. The transcript has 3 exons.